This is a long non-coding RNA of Panthera uncia (snow leopard), 1773 nucleotides long. RefSeq lists it as uncharacterized. NCBI's taxonomy places the organism in Eukaryota, Metazoa, Chordata, Mammalia, Carnivora, Felidae. The record is from RefSeq and is a predicted model, not a curated record. The transcript has 2 exons.
UGUGCUUUUCUAGAUCCAGAUGUCUAUUUUCUUCCCCAGGUUAGGGAAGUUUUCAGUCAUUAUUUCUUCAGGAAAGUUUUCUGACCCUUUCUCUCUCCUCUGGAACAUCUAUAAUGAGAAUGUUAAUCUGCUUGUUGUUCCAUAAGUUUCUUGAGCUAUCUUCAAUUUUUAAAGUUUUUCUUUUUGCUGCUCUGUUUGGGUGAGGUUUCAUUGCUCUGUCUUCCAGAUCACUGAUUCUUUCUUCUGUUUCAUCUACUUUGCUGUUGAACGUCUCUAGUGUAUUUUUCAGUUCUGUGAUUGUUAUUUGUUAUUCUUCAGAUCUGUGACUUCUGUUUGCUACUUAUAUUUUGAACUCUUUUUUAAAGUUCUAAUGUGUUUAUCCAUGGCCAUUACUUUGAACUCUUUAUCAGGUAAAUCACUUCUCUCUUUUUUAUUAAGUGGUUUUAGGGGGGAGGGGCAUAUCUUGUACUUUCAUUUGGAACAUAUUCUUUUGUCUUCCCAUUUUGCUUGACUCUUUUCAUUUCUGUGUAUUAGGCGAAACACCUGUCUCUCUCAGUCUUGGAUGAGUGGCCUGUAUAGAUGAUGAACUUUAUUGGUAACCUUACCCUUUGUUAUUUCUCAAAAUUUUGUGAUUGCCUAAGCAAUGUGAUUUAUUCCUGAUAGGCUACAGUUGUUGAGGGAGUCGCUAGCCUUUUGAGUCUUACAGAAUGUGGGAUCUCAGUCAGCCCCAGUUUCGAGCUAAUUGAAAACUUACCCCUCAGGCAGCUUUUAAGAUAUGCAAAUAUAUACAGUCCUGCGGGACCAUAAUCCUAAACCCUGCUGGCCUCCAGACCAAGCAAUGUGGUCAUUUCUGGGAGGAACAGGUGCGCUAUGGCAAGGCCAAGGGAGGACAAAAAGGUAAUGUUCCCUGGCCUACAUUCCCUGAGAGGAUGGCAUGUCCUUUAGGUAUGUAGUACCCAUCCAACUGAAGCUCCAGGACAAGUAAAUAAUCCUUUUUCACACAAGGUUGUGUUUUGGACUGCUAUCUCUGCAGUGUUCUAGAGGUAGUAGCCCACCAAGAACUAUCACUCCAAUGUUUCAGACCUGCUAGGACCAGAAACACAAUCAUCUCUGGCACCAGAGCCAGGUGCUCAAGGGGCAUCCCUGUGUGGGGUGUACCUACCUGUUCUAAGCAGGUUUGAGGGGAGUACAAAAAUGGCACCCACCAGUGCAUCUGUCCCUAGAGAGAGUCCUAACAACCCUUUGGCAGAUACUCUAAGAUUACCAAGUGAAUCUCAUUCAUAUAUGGUCUAGGUGCUUUUCAAACUGCUGCUUUUGUGCUGGGUCCCAGGGUGAGUGAGUCUGCAGGCAAGCCCUUUAAGAGUGGAAUCUCCAUUUCCUAUAGCCCUAUGUUCUUCUGGAUGUAAGCCCUGUUGUUUUUCAAAGCCACUUACUUUGAAAGCUCCUCAUCUCUCUGGUGUAGGUCCCCAGGAUUAAAGUGCCUGAUGUGAGGCACAUCAUGUUGCUCCACAAGGAGAAACUCCUUAUUUGUGACAUCCUUCCCAGUUGUGAGUUGCCACGACAGGGGAAGGGUGUUUGGUGAGACCCAUCUCUGCUUCUCCUACCUGUAUUGAUGUGGCCUAAUUAUCCGUUACUGUAGAGGAGAUGUUCAGCUAGUUUUAAGGUCUUUUUCAGGGGGAGUUAUUUCACAGUUGGCUGUAAAUUUGUUGUGUGGGAGAUGAGUUCAGGUCUUCCUAUGCUGACAUCUUAAACUGCCUUCCUCGGUAAUGUGGG